UACGUAGGUGGCAAGCGUUGUCCGGAUUUACUGGGCGUAAAGAGCGCGCAGGCGGUCGAAUCAGUCGAAUGUGAAAGCCCCCGGCUCAACUGGGGAGGGUCAUUCGAUACUGUCCGACUCGAAGGCAGGAGAGGGAAGCGGAAUUCCCGGUGUAGUGGUGAAAUGCGUAGAUAUCGGGAGGAACACCAGUGGCGAAGGCGGCUUUCUGGCCUGCUCUUGACGCUGAGGCGCGAAAGCUAGGGGAGCGAACGGG
Molecule: ribosomal RNA, 253 nt
Filed under: uncultured bacterium
Lineage: Bacteria
Description: partial 16S ribosomal RNA
Rfam family: Bacterial small subunit ribosomal RNA
Source: RNAcentral